ACCUAACUGAGCUGUGCCACAACUGUGGGGAGAAGAGCAAUGGGCAAAAGAAGACAGUGAGGAAAAAAAUGAACAACCCCUAUCAUCUACUUGGAUUCAGUGUGACGUGUGUGACCGGUGGUUUCAUAUGCAGUGUGUUCAGGAGCCCGAUCCCAUCAAGUCCUACAGCUGUGCGGCGUGCACAUUUUAAAAUUCUCCUUUCUUUCCCUGUUAUUAUUUGCUAUUAAUAUUUUGGUAUUCAAGUUACCAUUAAAACAAAUAAGUUGUAAAAA
Molecule: long non-coding RNA, 272 nt
Organism: Silurus meridionalis
Lineage: Eukaryota; Metazoa; Chordata; Actinopteri; Siluriformes; Siluridae
Exons: 2
Source: RefSeq, a predicted model, not a curated record